GAUGAACGCUGGCGGCGUGCCUAAUACAUGCAAGUCGAGCGAACAGACGAGGAGCUUGCUCCUCUGACGUUAGCGGCGGACGGGUGAGUAACACGUGGAUAACCUACCUAUAAGACUAGGAUAACUUCGGGAAACCGGAGCUAAUACCGGAUAAUAUAUUGAACCGCAUGGUUCAAUAGUGAAAGACGGUUUUGCUGUCACUUAUAGAUGGAUCCGCGCCGCAUUAGCUAGUUGGUAAGGUAACGGCUUACCAAGGCAACGAUGCGUAGCCGACCUGAGAGGGUGAUCGGCCACACGGGAACUGAGACACGGUCCAGACUCCUACGGGAGGCAGCAGUAGGGAAUCUUCCGCAAUGGGCGAAAGCCUGACGGAGCAACGCCGCGUGAGUGAUGAAGGUCUUCGGAUCGUAAAACUCUGUUAUUAGGGAAGAACAAAUGUGUAAGUAACUAUGCACGUCUUGACGGUACCUAAUCAGAAAGCCACGGCUAACUACGUG
Molecule: ribosomal RNA, 497 nt
Filed under: uncultured bacterium
Lineage: Bacteria
Description: partial 16S ribosomal RNA
Rfam family: Bacterial small subunit ribosomal RNA
Source: RNAcentral